CUACGGGGGGCUGCAGUGGGGAAUAUUGGACAAUGGGCGCAAGCCUGAUCCAGCCAUGCCGCGUGAGUGACGAAGGCCUUAGGGUUGUAAAGCUCUUUUGGCGGGGACGAUAAUGACGGUACCCGCAGAAUAAGCUCCGGCUAACUUCGUGCCAGCAGCCGCGGUAAUACGAAGGGAGCUAGCGUUGUUCGGAAUCACUGGGCGUAAAGCGCACGUAGGCGGAUUUGCUAGUCAGGGGUGAAAUCCCGGGGCUCAACCUCGGAACUGCCUUUGAUACUGCAAAUCUCGAGUCCGGAAGAGGUGGGUGGAAUUCCUAGUGUAGAGGUGAAAUUCGUAGAUAUUAGGAAGAACACCGGUGGCGAAGGCGGCCCACUGGUCCGGUACUGACGCUGAGGUGCGAAAGCGUGGGGAGCAAACAGGAUUAGAUACCCUUGUAGUC
This 439-nucleotide ribosomal RNA is filed under the name uncultured bacterium. Its description in RNAcentral is "partial 16S ribosomal RNA". It matches the Rfam family "Bacterial small subunit ribosomal RNA", at positions 339 to 795 of the family's 1533-position model. The record is from RNAcentral.